Homo sapiens (human) is the source of this 668-nucleotide long non-coding RNA. Ensembl annotates it as PCBP1 antisense RNA 1. Its record names the gene PCBP1-AS1. The record is from Ensembl. Lineage: Eukaryota; Metazoa; Chordata; Mammalia; Primates; Hominidae.
AAAAGGGGCACAGUGAUGACAGUACACUUUGAUACAACCAUUCUCCCAAGAGACGCGAUGACGAGUAUGUGCGUGACUCUGGAGGGAAAGGGUCUACAUCUGUCUCUGCUUGUGCCUCGGAUGGGUUUUACAGUAGACGUACCACUGACCCCGCCUCUUCACCAGAAUGUUGAUGCUCAAAGAACAGGAACCCCAGAACCCCAGGGAGGUAAGGAAGAAGAGCACAGCCAGGAUCAGAAGAGUGAAGAAACAAUGAUGUCCCACAGGUCACAGGGAGUAAGUAGCUGCUCUAGGGGUGAACCCAAGAGUGGUGAUUCACUGUCCAAACUACUGGCUGGAGGAGAGCUCGUGGUGGUCAUCUCUUCCCAACUAUGGCAGUGGCUAUGGCCUAACAGCUGGAGGCAGGAACAGGGCAGUGACAAGAAUCAGCAACUGCAUAGGGGCCUCAUCAAUUUCCAGUCCUCCAUCCAGAAGAGGACAGGACAUGCUCAAGCUGCCCCAAAGAGAAAGGACAAAGGAGAGGAAUUCUGAGAUGCAAGUCCCUAUGGAAGAGGGGACAGAGUUAAAUUCCAGCAGUCCAACAGACUAUGGCUAGAGCCAUAGUCUUCUCUUACCUGUAUCUUUAACGUUCAGCUUACUAUUGGUUCCUUAUUAUCUCCUGUUAGUGA